AUGAGCCGCCGCCGUCGCAGCUUGGCCUGGCAAUACUUCCUGGAUUCCUCGUCCGACGAAGAGGAGCUACUCUACAUGGCCGCAAUCAUAGCGCAAGAAGAGCAAGAGCGGCUGGAUGCCCCACCACUCCAUGACAGUUCUGUGCCGGCAAGUAUCUGCUCCUCUGUCGCCGCCGCAUCCGCUACAACCUCCCGCGUCCACCAGCCCAUCGCAUCCACCACAUCCACUGCGACCUCCAGCAUCCGCCGCGCCCGCUGCCCGGCCUCUACUCCCCGGUCAGCGCCGCGGCCGCGCCACGGAUCACCUGCGCGGACGGCGGUGACCACCUCUCCCGCUCCACCAGGCCUCCCUCCGGCCGAAUUCGUUGCACGGACCGGGAAGGGGUCGGAGGAGGAGCUCGAGGAGAGCGGAUAG
RNAcentral lists this ribosomal RNA (414 nucleotides) under Triticum aestivum (bread wheat). RNAcentral describes it as "partial small subunit ribosomal RNA". The record is from RNAcentral. Lineage: Eukaryota; Viridiplantae; Streptophyta; Magnoliopsida; Poales; Poaceae.